UUUCCGUAGGUGAACCUGCGGAAGGAUCAUUAAAAAUGAAGCCGGGAAACCGGUCCUUCUCACCCUUGAUUAUCUCAAAUUGUUGCUUUGGCGGGCCGCGCAAGCACCGGCUUCGGCUGGAUCGUGCCCGCCAGAGGACCACAACUCUGUAUUAUAUGUCGUCUGAGUACUAUAAAAUAGUUAAAACUUUCAACAACGGAUCUCUUGGUUCUG
RNAcentral lists this unclassified non-coding RNA (213 nucleotides) under plant metagenome. RNAcentral describes it as "partial contains small subunit ribosomal RNA, internal transcribed spacer 1, and 5.8S ribosomal RNA". The record is from RNAcentral.